CUUAGAAAUAUCAUUGAGUGCAGCGUUGAUGAAAAUGUCGAAUUUCUGCAGAUACUGAUGCUGCAUUAUUAUUCAUUUCAGACAGUUUUCAUCUACGCUGCACUCAAUCAUGUUUCAG
Molecule: non-coding RNA, 118 nt
Organism: Nicotiana sylvestris (wood tobacco)
Lineage: Eukaryota; Viridiplantae; Streptophyta; Magnoliopsida; Solanales; Solanaceae
Source: Rfam